This 946-nucleotide ribosomal RNA is filed under the name uncultured eukaryote. Its description in RNAcentral is "SSU rRNA". It matches the Rfam family "Eukaryotic small subunit ribosomal RNA", at positions 535 to 1498 of the family's 1831-position model. The record is from RNAcentral.
GGCCGAUGAUUAGCGGCGCGAAUCGUCAUGUGCCAAGCAGCCGCGGUAAUUCCAGCUCCAAUAGCGUAUACUAAAGUUGUUGCGGUUAAAAAGCUCGUAGUUGGAUCUUGGAAUGUGUUCAAGCGGGUCAGCUUCUGGCUGUGCGCUGCUUGACGUGUUCUUCUAUUUGGUUUUGGUGCGGUGCGCUUAACUGCGUGGCGCUCCCGGCCGAAACGUUUACCUUGAAAAAAUUAGAGUGUUCAAAGCAGACCUGUUUGAGUCUGAAUAUUCGUGCAUGGAAUAAUGAAAUAUGAAUUCGGUUCUAUUUUGUUGGUUUUCGGAACUCGAGUUAAUGAUCAAGAGGGACAGACGGGGGCAUUCGUACUCUGCCGUUAGAGGUGAAAUUCUUGGAUCGGCGGAAGACGCGCAACUGCGAAAGCAUUUGCCAAGAAUGUUUUCUUUAAUCAAGAACGAUAGUCGGAGGUUCGAAGACGAUCAGAUACCGUCCUAGUUUCGACUGUAAACUAUGCCAGCUAACGAUCAGACAGAGUUCUCUACGACUUGUCUGGCAGUUUCCGGGAAACCAAAGCGUUUGGGUUCCGGGGGAAGUAUGGUUGCAAAGCUGAAACUUAAAGGAAUUGACGGAAGGGCACCACCAGGAGUGGAGCCUGCGGCUUAAUUUGACUCAACACGGGGAAACUCACCCGGCCCGGACACAGUGAGGAUUGACAGAUUGAGAGUUCUUUCUUGAUUCUGUGGGUGGUGGUGCAUGGCCGUUCUUAGUUGGUGGAGCGAUUUGUCUGGUUAAUUCCGAUAACGAACGAGACUCUGGCAUGUUAAAUAGUCGCGGAAGUGCGUAUGCACUUGCCGAAUUGACUUCUUAGAGGGACUAGUGAUUUUAAUUCACACGAGAUUGAGCAAUAACAGGUCUGUGAUGCCCAAGGGCGAAUCGGUUAAACUGGCAAGA